This 253-nucleotide ribosomal RNA is filed under the name uncultured bacterium. RNAcentral's name for it is "partial 16S ribosomal RNA". It matches the Rfam family "Bacterial small subunit ribosomal RNA", at positions 524 to 776 of the family's 1533-position model. The record is from RNAcentral.
UACGUAGGGUCCGAGCGUUGUUCGGAAUUACUGGGCGUAAAGCGCGCGUAGGCGGCUUUGUAAGUUAGAGGUGAAAGCCCGGGGCUCAACCCCGGAAUUGCCUUUAAGACUGCAUCGCUUGAAUCCGGGAGAGGUGAGUGGAAUUCCGAGUGUAGAGGUGAAAUUCGUAGAUAUUCGGAAGAACACCAGUGGCGAAGGCGGCUCACUGGUCCGGUACUGACGCUGAGGUGCGAAAGCGUGGGGAGCAAACAGG